CACUUUUGGGAUCGGAGGUAGGGGUAGCACGGGGAAGGGAAGCGAGAACGUCGGCGGCGUGAGGGCAAGCCAGAGGAGAGGGUAGCGGCUCGAGCGGAGACGGUGACGAGAGGGGCAGGGAGAGCGCGCCGGUGGGGAGGAGGAGGGACCUGUUCCGUCGUCGCUCACCGUCGUAUCCUCGUUCCGACCCCUGACCCAUCGUGCCAUGCUCCCAGUGCAACUCGUGCGGGGCCGCCGGAGACUAAGCAGGAGAGCUGGCCAUCGGUGGAGACGCGCACCCUGCUGGACACACAGCGGUGCAGUGGUCGCUGUGUCCCGGUUUCCGUUGCCGGCGCGGAGCGGUAGUGCCCCCCUCGUAGCCGGCGGCUCUGCCAGCAGGUGCAGUGGUGACAGCAACAGGAAGUCGUCCUAGCCGCCCAUCACUGUGAAAGCAGCACGUGUAGCGAACGACAGUUGAACCGGUGGACUGCCUCUACCUUCUCCAUGGUAGGUCGGAUACCUCCAGCUCGACGCCGCUCGUCGUCUCCUCCGCACGUUGACGACGGACCGGGCUCUGGAAGAAGUGUCGUCGUCGUGGUGGUGGUAGCAAUCUACGUCACUUCUGGUCAUCGACGCCCGCGGCAGUUGGUACUGGGUCACUUUGGUCGGUAGAGGCCGCUCGAGUGAGGGGACGUGGUCGUCUUCGUGGCGUUGCCGUUGACGUUGUAGUUAAAGAUGCCGCCACCAUCUACGGCAGCAUUCGCGGUGGUACAGUUUUUCGGUUCCUAACUUUGAUACACGUCACUUGGCUCGAAAAGGCUCUCCUGGUUCUGUUCUCCAUUGUGUGACGGAUCUCAUCAUUAUACGUGGUCGUAAACCUAGUAUUGUUGGAUAUCAACACUAGUCGGGAAUAAUAGACAUAAGUAGUCUUUUUACAUACAUAUAUAGUACGGACUAAAAACGGAAAGACGAAAAACCUAGUCAACAACCGUUAUAUUUUGACAUCUAGUUCCUUCACUUAUUAGAUACGUACCUUUUAUUUGUUUUCUCCCAGUAUAUCAGACUUUUUUUUAUCGAACAUAAAAGAGGCUGUCGUACCCACCGUCCCAUUAAAUCAUAUUUAUUCUCUUUUACCAUCAAGUAUUCCACAUCACUGAACAGGAUAUUAAAUAGAGAACAGUAGUUUGUGUACAAAGAGUGAAGACAUGAGCUAUGUGUCCUAGUACACAGGUCAUUCACUUAUGACAGAUGAUGGCUAGUAUAGAUGAAUAUACAAACGAAACGUAAAGGUACACCGAAACGUGUUACAGACGACGUCCCAAUCGAUUUUACUUUGGUACACACCAUGCCGACCAGCGUACGAACGCAAGUGAGCCGUCCUCCUCGUGGUGGGAAGAGUGCGUGGAGACUCCCCGCCGGUCGUGUAGGUAAGGGAUCUCACCAGGUGAGGCCGAGAGUCGAGACAAGGGGUUGCCGCACGGCGGAGAUCCUUGCGGUGGAACCUCUACCAGCCUCGAGACCGCGGAGGUUGAGAUAGGGGGUAGAAAUGAGGCAGGUCAAAGUGGAGAGAGAGAGAGAGAGAGAGAGAGAGAGAGAGAGAGAGAGAGAGAGAGAGAGACUACUUUUGUAGUAAAAUAAGACCGGCCUACGAUUUCCAUACACUACUACGUCGUUCAAGACCUAAACACGAACCUCCGUUUGAGUCGGCUCCCUGGAAAAGUGCCAAAUUUAGUUUUACCACACGACUUCUCUUUUUGGAAUGAAAGCUUUCUCUAAUUUUACCUUAGACGAACCUGAUACAACUGGUAUGUCCAAACUAAGUAUAUAUCAGACUUCAACCGACAUGGACCUACCCAAUGUCAAACGAAGAAAGUUUUUCUGCUCCACAAGAGAGAUUUUGUUAGACAUCGACCUAAACAUCUAUCAAAAAAUACAAAGACAUGUAAUUGUACUAGAGUUUGUUAAGAACCCGGUAUCCUAACAGCAGUACAUACAAUAAAUCAAUAUAUCUUUUUGUAUCGUAUCCUGUUACGACGAAGAUUUGGGUCGACAAUUUAAGUAGUGGCUUGUUAACUUAGGCGAAAGUCGGAUUGCAAGUUAGUUCUUUCUCAGUUAAUACACAUAGAUACUCGUGACAACAAUAAGAAAAAAUUCUACUCGAGAUGACAAGUGAACUAAGUAAUACAAGAUAUCCCUCUCCUUCGUUUACCCAACCCUACUAGACGUAACGGAGGUUAACGUGUUCUAAGUCCCUUAGUGGUAUCGACAUAAUACAAAAAGGUACUAUAGUCGUUACACUCAUAUAUAUAAAUAUAUAAAGGAAGAAUAAAUGAAAAAUCACUACGAACGACGUCAUAAUGUAUUGACUUACAACCAGGUUCUAACUAUUAAUACAACAGGUACUUCUUGUGUAGUAUAAGAAGUUGACUGGCUUGUUCAAUGAGUGUAGUCUAAGUACACUACACAGUACACUUCACAGCUUACUACUCUGCUAGUUCACUUCGAUAGAUUCUCAUACGAAUACACCUUGAUAUAUUCAAGGAAUAGAGCGACGGCGAUACCGAACGACAACGAUACAUUAUUCAUACUACAAACGUAGAGUGAAAUGAGCGAAAACCUUAUUUUAUAUAUAAACGUAAAGGGU
RNAcentral lists this ribosomal RNA (2623 nucleotides) under Triticum aestivum (bread wheat). RNAcentral's name for it is "partial small subunit ribosomal RNA". The record is from RNAcentral. Lineage: Eukaryota; Viridiplantae; Streptophyta; Magnoliopsida; Poales; Poaceae.